GAUGAAGAACGUAGCGAAAUGCGAUAAGUUAUGUGAAUUGCAGAAUUCAGUGAAUCAUCGAAUCUUUGAACGCACAUUGCGCCCGCCAGUAUUCUGGCGGGCAUGCCUGUCUGAGCGUCAUUUCAACCCUCAUGCCCCUAGGGCGUGGUGUUGGGGAUCGGCCAAAGCCCGCGAGGGACGGCCGGCCCCUAAAUCUAGUGGCGGACCCGUCGUGGCCUCCUCUGCGAAGUAGUGAUAUUCCGCAUCGGAGAGCGAUGAGCCCCUGCCGUUAAACCCCCAACUUUCCAAGGUUGACCUCAGAUCAGGUAGGAAUACCCGCUGAACUUAAGCAUAUCAAUAAGCGGAGGA
This 348-nucleotide unclassified non-coding RNA is filed under the name soil metagenome. RNAcentral describes it as "partial contains 5.8S ribosomal RNA, internal transcribed spacer 2, and large subunit ribosomal RNA". The stretch from base 1 to 120 matches the Rfam family "5.8S ribosomal RNA", at positions 35 to 154 of the family's 154-position model. The record is from RNAcentral.